This 239-nucleotide long non-coding RNA is filed under the name Lathyrus oleraceus (garden pea). Its description in RNAcentral is "Pisum sativum (pea) long non-coding RNA (PSAT_LNC022150)". Lineage: Eukaryota; Viridiplantae; Streptophyta; Magnoliopsida; Fabales; Fabaceae. The record is from RNAcentral.
GGGUAAGGAGAUAAUAAAGAUCUGACAGAGAGGACAUCCGUCAUCGAUUAAGAUGAACAUAUCAAGGAUGACUCGUUGGGAACUGCCAGGAGGAAGAAUUCAUUACCAGUUACUGGGUAAGAAUAACCUUGUUGGGGAAACUGCAGAAAAGAGUAGGAUUUACAACUACCAGUUACUGGGCAGAAGACCAAAGGUGAGAGUAUCCGUCAUCGGUUAGGAUGAACAUAUCAAGGAUAAAC